AAAACAUCUGUUGAAAAAUGUAUUGAGCGUUUGCACACUUUAAGAUCAGUGGAAAGUGUUCUGUUUUAUAGCAAAUGAUUAACUUCAGUUAAUAGUGUACGCCCACAUGCUUAGCUAGGAGCUUAGCUCUUUUGGGUUUCAAGAAAAUGGAGACAGCCGGCAAAGUAAGUAAUUAUAUUUUAUUAUAAAUACAAAUUCCAUUUUAGGUGUAAUAUGCUUUGGUUCACAAAAUGUUUUUACUAGUUUGUAUUUGCACAGUUUAGCAUUGUCUUGCUAUUUAUUUCUAAAAUAUUUUGCCAGCAAGGAUACAUUGAGAUUUCUCUUGUUUUCAAUUAAGUCCUGGGCCCAUAAGCAUUGCAUUGUUAUUUUAGAACACGUGCUUAUUCUGGCAAGACAGAGCAAGACAAAGAGCUUCAGAAACUGUAAUACAAUAUCUAUGUUAUGCACGUUACUUCUCCCCUCACCCACCCCCAGUACCAUAGUCUCUCUGCAGCCAGAUUGGUAAUGGGAAAAUUACAGUUAGUCACUAUCAAGGGUAAAUCUGUCCAGUUUUACACUGCAAUAAUAGAUCUGAGGGUGGACAGUUUUUCCUUUGUUCCUAUAACUAUUUUCAUAUUACUUUUAAUGCAUUUGCACACAAAAAACAUAUUCGCUGUAAAUUUCAUCAUAGCAGCCUAUGGUGUAAAGAAAUACACAGAAAUUACGUCAUUGUAGCAAGAGAGGGAGGGCACACUCAUGUUGCAGCUACAGCACAUAGAGAUAUGUGGCAAAUUGAUUUUAAAAUCACUGGGGCAGCAUAAUAUCACUACUGCUGCAGUUAUCUAUAUCUUUCUUGUUUAUGAUUGGGAAGCAAAAUCCAAAAAGGUUAUGGUGGGGAAAAAUUGUGAUUGAAAACCCCUUCCACCUGAAGUCUGUGGAUAGUUAAUACAAUGUUAAACAAAAAUCUGCACACCAGUGAAGCCAUAAGACUUGCUUUUCCCACAGAAAUCACAAAUCUGCAGUGAUGUUACUACUGCAAAGGAUUAGGGCAUAUGCAGAUUAGCUUAACAAAAAAUCAAAUUUUUGCCUCAUUUCAUUUUAUGAUUAGAUUAGCGGAUUAGAUGAUUGUUUAUGAUUAGAAUAUAUCAUGUACACUUUAUAUCAAGAUCAUAAUUCUCUCAUCUUGUGCCCCAUUCCCUUUAGAGAGAAACCCUUGUCCAUUGUGAGUUCAUGGGAUAGAACUUUUUUUUCCACCUGCAGUUCCAAUGAUCUGAUCCAUUAACCCCUUAAGGACACAGCUUCAGAAGCUUGUCUUACGCUUAAUGACACAAGCAAUUUUUGCAUUUUCUUGCUGUAUGCGUUCAACUGCAAUUUGCAUCUCUCUCGUUUAUUGCACCGACACAUAUUAUAUACUGUUUUUUAAAGGACAUAAAGGGCUUUAAUUUGAUGUAACAUAUAUAUAUAUAAAUGCUUAUUUAUUAUUUAAAAAAUACAGAAAAAUGCAAAAAAAAGAAAAUUUUGUGUUUUUUGUACAGUUUUUGCAAUAAUAAUGUGUGCCUAAUUAGUGCAGGUUAAAGAAAGUAAUUAAAAAUAAAUUUAUUUAGUUGUUCUGAUUUACAAAAUAUAUAAUGUGUCUGGGAUUUAAAGUUUUUUUUGGUAGUUACAGGUCAUAAAGCACAAGGAGUAAAAUAAACUUUUAAUGUAGAGCGAUUUUAGAAUUUUGUAUGUUUGUCUUGUAAGCUUAAUAGCCAUAAAAGAAAACAAAAUUGCCACACAAAAGUAUAUAUUUAUAUAAAGUAGACAUCACAGGCUAUUGUCCUAAGGUUUUUUUGACACUUUCUAAGUAGCCAUUUCACCGCCAAUCUCUGCUAAAUAUUGGAGUAAAAUUUAGUUUUUUGGAGUUUUUGGCACACAAACUUAUAACAAAGAACUUCCCAUGUAUAUUUUGUAAAGUUGGUGUGUGCUAUUCCUGUACAAAGUUUUAUUUUGUGUUCAGUUACUUCUGCUGAGUACAACGAUACCCCCAUUGUAUGUCUUUGGCACUAUUUCGUGAAGCUACAGUGCCAUAUAGGAGACCUGUCCGUUUCAACAUUUACAGUAGAAUUUUGAGAGGCGGAUUUAAUGGGCCUAUGCUUCAAUUUGGGGUAUUAUAGCAGUUUGACUGUUCAAAAAAAACCCACAAAGGCCUACCAUUUAUAAAAGUAGACACUCCAGGGUAUCUCAUAUGGUGCAUAUUGUGCCUUAACAUGCCCCCAUUUUUUCACCAAUAUAUGCCAAAGUAUGUGGUAAAAAAUAAUUUUGGGCAUUUUUUACAUACGGAUUACAUUUUUGCUGGGCAUUUUGUACAUUUCAUAUGUGCCACUAAGUUCAAACCCCCAAAUUAUGCUCAGCUAAGUCUUCUGAGUAAAACAAUAUGCCCAAUGUAUGACCUAGACACUAUUUUGUGAAGUUACACUGCUAUAAAAGAGACGUAACAAGUUAAGGUUUUUAAGUGUGAAUUUUCAUGGAGGGUUUUGAUGCGUCCGUGCCCACUUUGGAGCACUUGAGCAGGCUACAUAUUACAACUACAACAUAAAGGCAUACCAUUUCUUAAAGAACACAUCCCAGGGUAUUUCAAAAGGCAUAUUUUGAACCUUAGCGUGGGAUAAUUUUUCCGCUAGCUUGUACCAAGUGUAAUGGUAAUAAGCGUUUUUUUGCCUUUUUGACACACAAAGUAAAUUUGCGCAGUACAUUUUGCAAAUCUUAUGUGUGCUACGACUGUAUAAUACUUCAUAUGUUGCUCAGCUAUGUCGGCUGAGUACAUCAAUACCCCCGUAUGUACCUUUGCCAGGUAUAUGUGGACAUCGGAGGGGCACAUUUGGGACACAGCCAUUCCAGUUCAUUUCAAACUUUAAAUUUUUACACUGUUCCCAUGUCCCAUUUUAGAGUAUUUUACCAGGCUAUAUAAUCCAAAUACCCCAUAAAGCCAUACCAUUUCUUAAAGAAGACAUCCCGGGGUAAUUCAAAAGGCAUAUUUUGAACCUUAGCGUGGGAUAAUUUUUCCGCUAGCUUGUACCAAGUGUAGUGGUAAUAAGCAUUUUUUCUGCCUUUUUGACACACAAAGUGAGUUUGCGCAGUAUAUUUUGCAAACCUUAUGUGUACUACGACUGUAUACUACUUCAUAUGUUGCUCAGCUAUGUCGGCUGAGUACAUCAAUACCCCCGUAUGUACCUUUGCCAGGUUUAUGUGGACAUUGAAGGGGCACAUUUGAGACACAGCCAUUCCAUUUUUUUCAAACUUUGAAUUUUUACGCUGUGUCCAUGUCCCAUUUUAGAGUAUUUUAAAAGGCUAUAUAAUCCAAUUACACCAUAAAGGCAUACCAUUUCUUAAAGAAGACAUCCCGGGGUAAUUCAAAAGGCCUAUUUUGAACCUUAGCGUGGGAUAAUUUUUCCGCUAGCUUGUACCAAGUGUAGUGGUAAUAAGCAUUUUUUCUGCCUUUUUGACACACAAAGUGAGUUUGCGCAGUAUAUUUUGCAAACCUUAUGUGUACUACGACUGUAUACUACUUCAUAUGUUGCUCAGCUAUGUCGGCUGAGUACAUCAAUACCCCCGUAUGUACCUUUGCCAGGUUUAUGUGGACAUUGAAGGGGCACAUUUGAGACACAGCCAUUCCAUUUUUUUUAAACUUUGAAUUUUUGCGCUGUGUCCAUGUCCCAUUUUAGAGUAUUUUAAAAGGCUAUAUAAUCCAAUUACACCAUAAAGGCAUACCAUUUCUUAAAGAAGACAUCCCGGGGUAAUUCAAAAGGCCUAUUUUGAACCUUAGCGUGGGAUAAUUUUUCCGCUAGCUUGUACCAAGUGUAGUGGUAAUAAGCAUUUUUUCUGCCUUUUUGACACACAAAGUGAGUUUGCGCAGUAUAUUUUGCAAACCUUAUGUGUACUACGACUGUAUAAUACUUCAUAUGUUGUUCAGCCAUGUCGCUGAGUACAGCAAUACCCCCGUAUGUACCUUUGCCAGGUAUAUGUGGACAUUGAAGGGGCACAUUUGAGACACAGCCAUUCCAGUUUUUUCCAAACUUUGAAUUUUUACGCUGUGUCCAUGUCCCAUUUUAGAGUAUUUUACAAGGCUAUAUCAUCCAAUUACACCAUAAAGGCAUAUCUUUUCUUAAAGAAGACAUCCCAGGGUAAUUCAAAAGGCAUAUUUUGAACCUUAGCGUGGGAUAAUAUUUCCGCUAGCUUGUACCAAGUGUAGUGGUAAUGAGCAUUUUUAAAUGUAUUUUUUUACUUUGUAAAACUUUUUUUACUUUGUAAAACUUUUUUUACUUUGUAAAACCCAUUUUUAAACUUUUUUUUUUACUUAUUAAAUGUUUUACACUAUCUUAACUUUUUUUACACUUUUAUUUUUUUUUCUAAACUUUUCUUUUACCGUUAACCCCUAACUAGCAGUAAGCAGCACUAACCGUAAAUUCCCCAUUUUCCCAUAACUCCCACCCACCCCAGCUAGCAAAAUAUUUAAUUAUAAAAUAUUUAAAUUAAUUAAUUAAAUAAAUGGAACCCCUGAGGGUUAAAAAAAAAUAAAUAAAAGUUAAUCCUCAGGGGUUAAAAAAAUUAGAUCACAGUAUAAUACUGUGAUCUGUAUUUUAAUCACUGUAGGCAGUGAUCAGCUGGCAGGGAAGGGGUUAAUUUUUAUUUAGACUGGGUAAAGGGGGUGGUAUUUUUUUUUNNNNNNNNNNNNNNNNNNNNNNNNNNNNNNNNNNNNNNNNNNNNNNNNNNNNNNNNNNNNNNNNNNNNNNNNNNNNNNNNNNNNNNNNNNNNNNNNNNNNCACACACAUUGCCCCACACACUGCCCCCCAUACACACACUCUGCCCCCCCGUACAAAUACACUCUACACACAUACACUAUCCUCAUACACACACACUGUAUGGACUCAGCAGUCUGUGUGUGUGUAUGGACUCAGCAGUCUGUGUGUGUGUAUGGACUCAACAGUCUGUGUGUAUGGACUCAGCAGUCUGUGUGUAUGGACUCAGCAGUCUGUGUGUGUGUAUGUGUGUGUGUGUAUGGACUCAACAGUCUGUGUGUAUGGACUCAACAGUCUGUGUGUAUGGACUCAGCAGUCUGUGUGUGUGUGUAUGGACUCAGCAGAGUGUGUGUUUGUGUAUGGACUCAGCAGUCUGUGUGUUUGUGUAGACUCAGCAGUCUGUGUGUGUGUAUGGACUCAGCAGAGUCUGUGUGUGUAUGGACUCAGCAGUAUGUGUGUGUGUAUGGACUCAGCAGUGUCUGUGUGUGUAUGGACUCAGCAGAGUCUGUGUGUGUAUGGUCUCAGCAGUCUGUGUGUAUGGACUCAGCAGUCUGUGUGUGUGUGUAUGGACUCAGCAAUCUGUGUGUGUGUGUGUGUGUAUGUGUAUGUGUGUGGACUCAGCAGUCUGUGUGUGUGUAUGGACUCAGCAGUCUAUCAAUAAUUAAAAUUCCUGUGAGUUGUUGUGUAGGAAGGGCCCCAGUGCAUUGCUUUGCCCAGGGGCCCUUAACUCUGUUAAAAUGGUACUGCUUGUGUGUGUCAGUGAGCUUCUAUUUAGUGAGCAUGUGUGUGUCAGUGAGCUUGUCUUUAGUGAGCUUGUGUGUGUGUCCCUGAACUUCUUUGUAGUGAGCCUUCUGUUUAUACAAGUGAGUGUCUGUAGUAAGCUUGUGUGUGAGUCAGAGAGUUUUGUCUGUCAGUAAGCCUAUUUGCGCAUGUCAGUGAGCUUGUGUGCUCACUGUACUAUAUAUAUAUAUAUAUAUAUAUAUAUAUAUAUAUAUAUAUAUAUAUAUAUAUAUAUAUAUAUAUAUAUAUAUAUAUAUAUAUAUAUAUAUGACUUGUGGGAAUGGCAUACGUUUUUUUUCCAGGGCUGCUUUGGAUUCCCAGGGAUUCCCAGUUUGGCUCUGCCAGCGAGUGCACUUUACCGCUGAAUAAUCUGUGUGAGCUGCCGCACACUUUAGCCCUGUUACACGCGUCUGGG
This 5949-nucleotide long non-coding RNA is filed under the name Pelobates cultripes (western spadefoot toad). Lineage: Eukaryota; Metazoa; Chordata; Amphibia; Anura; Pelobatidae. The record is from RNAcentral.